ACCAAGUUCGCUGUCUUUGACCACAUAGCGUCCGCUUUCCAAAACUUCUCCAAGCUCCGCCCUCAGCUAACCUCCUCUCCAACUCUUGUACUUUCUCCUUAGUCAAAAUACCCCAUCUAAUCCGCGGUUGUACCCGAGCACCCCUCCUCUUCCUCUUCACCCAAAGACCGACAUCCAUCACUAGGAGUUUAUGAAGAGUCGAAAGGGACUCUCCCGGAAUAACCUUGCAGUC
RNAcentral lists this long non-coding RNA (232 nucleotides) under Nicotiana benthamiana. RNAcentral's name for it is "long non-coding RNA (NBEN_LNC028401)". Lineage: Eukaryota; Viridiplantae; Streptophyta; Magnoliopsida; Solanales; Solanaceae. The record is from RNAcentral.